GGAGAUAUGGCAGAGUGGUCGAAUGCGAUGGUUUUGAAAACCAUUGUACCGCAAGGUACCGGGGGUUCGAAUCCCUCUAUCUCCGCCA
This 88-nucleotide transfer RNA is filed under the name Vicingaceae bacterium. Its description in RNAcentral is "tRNA-Ser". It matches the Rfam family "tRNA". Rfam says of the family: Transfer RNA (tRNA) molecules are approximately 80 nucleotides in length. Their secondary structure includes four short double-helical elements and three loops (D, anti-codon, and T loops). Further hydrogen bonds mediate the characteristic L-shaped molecular structure. tRNAs have two regions of fundamental functional importance: the anti-codon, which is responsible for specific mRNA codon recognition, and the 3' end, to which the tRNAs corresponding amino acid is attached (by aminoacyl-tRNA synthetases). tRNAs cope with the degeneracy of the genetic code in two manners: having more than one tRNA (with a specific anti-codon) for a particular amino acid; and 'wobble' base-pairing, i.e. permitting non-standard base-pairing at the 3rd anti-codon position. The record is from RNAcentral. Lineage: Bacteria; Pseudomonadati; Bacteroidota; Flavobacteriia; Flavobacteriales; Vicingaceae.